UAGCAUUGUCAGUAUUUUUGCUUCCCGACUCCCACCCCUUUGUAAAACCUGUGCUGCUUUCACGGACGGUGUCACGGGGAUGUCCUCUGACGUCUUGGAUGCUUACGGCCCCAUCAUCAAACCCAGGUUCAUGAGUGGAUGGCUGCAGGAACUCAAUCAGCGAGCUAAGCAUCAGCUGAUCUGAGAGCAGAUUGUGCAGGUUUUUGGCUGAACGUGAGUGACUUUUGGAGGACUGGGACAAGAGGCAUUUUAGUCCCUGAAAUGUCUCUCAAACGAGGAGAGGGGAUGUCAAUCGCCCAGGCUUUAGCCAUGACUGUAGCAGAGAUACCGGUCUUUCUCUACUCCACAUUUGGGCAGUCAAUAUUUUCCCAGCUGAAGCUUUCCCCAAGCCUGAAGAAGGUCCUGUUUGCCACGGCACUAGGAAGCGUGGCUCUGGCUCUCACUGCUCAUCAGCUGAAAAGGCGAGGGAGAAAAAGAAAACAGGCGAUACAAGCAAAGGAUGGCCAUAAAAUCGUGGGCAUACCCGAGGCUCUGUUGAAAACAGGAAGACCGUCAUCAUUAAAGAGAGUUCCACUUACCAGUCGACAGAUGAUGAGCCCCAGCUCUCGGAGCAAUGACACCAUGAGUGGAAUCUCCUCCUUGGCUCCCAGUAAACACUCGAGUUCCUCCCACAGCUUGGCGUCUACACGAGUCCCAAACUCCCCAAAUCAGUCUGCUAAUCCCCCCACCCCUUGGGAGGCAGAGCCUGUGGUUGAGGAAGCGGGGGCAGUAGAGGAUGUCAAUGCAGAGAACCUCUAUUUGAUGGGGAUGGAGUUAUUUGAGGAAGCUCUACAGAAGUGGGAACAAGCCCUAAACAUUCGUCAUCAAAGCCAGUCGGCCUCCUGUAACAACAGCCUCGCCCUUCAGGCUGCAGCGUGUGAAGAUGUUCCCACGGCUGAAGCCCAAAAUAAAGCCUUUUCUGAGAAGUUAGAGACAUUAUUGCACAGAGCAUACCACCUACAGGAGGAUUUUGGCAGCAGUAUCCCAACAGAGAGUGUGCUGGCAGACUUUGCAGAGAGUGAAGGAACUCUUCUGUUGCCUCAAGUAGAAAGUUUCCAUCGACCACGAGACGACGACGCGACUACCAUUUCCUCGGAGGAUUCCUUUUUCUCAGCUGCAGAACUGUUAGAUAACAUGACUCUAGACGAGAUCUAUCCACCGAUGAAGCCUGCAGCUCUUUACGAAGAGGCCCUGUUUCUGGUCCGGGAAGGCAAAGUCAAAUUUAGAUCGCUGAGGACGGAAUUACUUGAAUGUUACGGAGACCAAGAUUUCCUAGCCAAGCUCCACUGUGUGAGGCAAGCAUUCCAGAUGCUAUUGUUGGAUGAAACUCAUCGCACUUUUUUUAUGGAAACCGGGAAACAGAUGAUAGCCGGGCUGGUGGUAAAGGCAAACAAGAGUCCCAAAGCUUUUCUAGAGAGCUAUGAAGACAUGCUGCUUUACACCCAGAGGGAGGAAACGUGGCCCGUCACUCAGAUGGAGCUGGAGGCUCGAGGGGUGGUGUGUAUGAACUUUUUCGACAUUGUGUUGGACUUCAUCCUAAUGGAUGCCUUUGAAGACCUGGAGAGUCCUCCCUCAUCCGUGAUAGCUGUGCUUAGGAACCGCUGGCUCUCCGACAGCUUUAAAGAGACGGCCCUGGCGACGGCUUGCUGGUCUGUGUUAAAAGCAAAACGGCGUCUUCUCCUGGUUCCCGAUGGGUUCAUCUCCCACUUCUAUGCCAUAUCAGAACACGUGAGCCCGGUUUUAGCUUUUGGGUUUUUGGGACCCAGGCAACACCUGAGUGAAGUUUGCACAAUUUUCAAGCAACAAAUCGUGCAAUACCUUAAGGACAUGUUUGAUCACGACAAGGUGCGCUUCUCCACUGCUCAGUGCUUGGCCGAGGACGUUCUGAAACUUUCCCACCGCAGAGGUGACAUUAUACUGGGGUAUCUGGGAAUCAAUAGUCUACUGGAACUGAAUGGAUCCCUGCCCAGAGAUGCUCAAGAGCCCUGAGGGACCAACUAGGAGCGUUGAAGGACGAGGAACUCGACACUAGACAACCAGCAUUCUUCAAGUCUUCAUCAAGUCACUGGAUUUGUUUCAUCCCAUCGGCUUGUGUUGGUGCAGGAUGCUGCUGGGAUCCUCUUCUCCCUUGUGUUGCUGCUUUGUUACAUAUCCAGAAUGCCAACUGUAAUCACAGACACGUGAGGACUUGUCCCUGCCUCGUCGGGCAACUGGUUACUCGUUAAAACACAGCUGACAAACACUUCCAGCCAAUGAGGGCCGUGCCUUCUACACAAGAUUAUCUGGAGUUGAGUCGAGGGGGCAGUAGCCUAAGCUGAGAGGCCCACGCUUGCCUCUCCCCAGCCAUUUGGGCCAGAACCUCUGGGGGGAUCCUGAGACAUUCCCUGGCCAGCCGAGAGAAUAACGUACCUCCAGUGUGUCCUGGGUCUUCCUUUAGGUCUCCUCCUGUUGGACGUGCCCAGAAAACCUCACUAGGAAUGCGUCCAGGAAGCAUCCUGACCAGAUGCCCGAGCCACCUCAACUGGCUCCUCUCGAUGUGGAGGAGCAGCGGAUCUACUCUGAGCCCCUCCCGGAUGACUGAGCUUCUCACCCUAUCUCAAAGGGAGAGUCUAGACACUCUGUGGAGAAAACUCAUUUCGGCCGCUUGUACCCGGGAUCUCGUUCUUUCGGUCACUACCCAAAGCUCAUGACCAUAGGUGAGGGUAGGAACGUAGAUUGACCAGUAAAUUAAGCUCUCUUUUCACCACGACAGAUCGGUACAACACCCGCAUCACAGCAGAUGCAGUACCAAUCCGCCUAUCGAUCUCACGCUCCAGCUUUCCCUCACUCGUGAACAAGACCCCGAGAUACUUAAACUCCUCCACUUGGGGCAGGACCUCAUCCCUGACCCGGAGAAGGCUUUCUACCCUUUUCCGAAUCAAGACCAUGGUCUCAGAUUUAGAGGAGCUGAUUCUCAAUCCCAGCCGCUUCACACUCGGCUGUGAACCGCUCCAGUGAGAGCUGGAGAUCACGUUCUGAUGAAGCCAACAGGAUCACAUCAUUUGCAAAAGAAACCUGAUCCUCAGGCCACCAAAACGGAUGCCCUCCACACCUUGGCUGCACCUAUAAAUCCUGUCCAUAAAAGUUAUGAACAGAAUCGGUGACAAAUGGCAGCCUUGGCGGAGUCCAACUCUCACUGGGAACGAGCCUGACUUACUGCCGGCAAUGCGGACCAAGCUCUGGCACCGGUCAUACAGUUUUUUGACAACCUCAGUGACCUCAGCACCAGAGAUUUGAGAGCCCAACUCAAAGUCCCCAGACUCUGCUUCCUCAUUGGAAGAUGUGCCGGUCGGAUUGAGGAGGUCUUCGAAGUAUUCUUCCCACAGAUCCACAACGUCCCGAUUAGAGUUCAGCAGCACACCGUCGCCACUAUAGAUAGUGUUGGUAGCGCACUGCUUUCCCCUCCUGAGGCACUGGCUGAUGGACCAGAAUCUCCUCGAAGCCGUACAGAAGUCUUGCUCUAUGGUCUCACCAAACUCCUCCCAUGCCUGGGUUUUUG
Molecule: non-coding RNA, 3577 nt
Organism: Nothobranchius furzeri (turquoise killifish)
Lineage: Eukaryota; Metazoa; Chordata; Actinopteri; Cyprinodontiformes; Nothobranchiidae
Source: RefSeq, a predicted model, not a curated record